UAGGAAGGUGGGUAUAGAAAAGAGACAGC
This 29-nucleotide non-coding RNA is filed under the name Mus musculus (house mouse). The record is from RNAcentral. Lineage: Eukaryota; Metazoa; Chordata; Mammalia; Rodentia; Muridae.